GUUACUGCUAUCGGAGUUCGAUUAAGCCAUGCGAGUCUAAAGGUUUCUUCGGAAACCUUGGCGGACUGCUCGGUAACACGUGGAUAACCUACCCUUGGGACUGGAAUAACCCCGGGAAACUGGGGAUAAUACCGGAUAGAUCAGGGAUGCUGGAAUGCACCUUGAUCCAAAGCUCCGGCGCCCAAGGAUGGGUCUGCGGCCUAUCAGGUAGUAGUGGGUGUAACGUACCUACUAGCCAACGACGGGUACGGGUUGUGAGAGCAAGAGCCCGGAGAUGGAUUCUGAGACACGAAUCCAGGCCCUACGGGGUGCAGCAGGCGCGAAACCUUUACAAUGUGCGAAAGCAUGAUAAGGGAACUCCGAGUGCCAGUAUCUAAUACUGGCUGUCCUUGUGCCUAAAACGCACAAGAUAGCAAGGGCCGGGUAAGACCGGUGCCAGCCGCCGCGGCAACACCGGCGGCCCGAGUGGUAGCCGCUAUUAUUGGGUCUAAAGGGUCCGUAGCCGGUUCGAUAAGUCCUCUGGGUAAUCUGGUUGCUUAACAAUCAGACUGCCAAGGGAUACUGUCGAACUUGAGACCGGGAGAGGUAAGAGGUACUUCAGGGGUAGGAGUGAAAUCUUGUAAUCCCUGGGGGACCAUCUGUGGCGAAGGCGUCUUACCAGAACGGGUCUGACGGUGAGGGACGAAAGCUGGGGGCGCAAACCGGAUUAGAUACCCGGGUAGUCCCAGCCGUAAACGAUGCUCGCUAUGUGUCAGGUACGGUGUGACCGUAUCUGGUGCCGUAGGGAAGCCGUGAAGCGAGCCACCUGGGAAGUACGGCCGCAAGGCUGAAACUUAAAGGAAUUGGCGGGGGAGCACUACAACGGGUGGAGCCUGCGGUUUAAUUGGAUUCAACGCCGGG
This 900-nucleotide ribosomal RNA is filed under the name uncultured archaeon. RNAcentral describes it as "bacterial SSU rRNA". It matches the Rfam family "Archaeal small subunit ribosomal RNA", at positions 23 to 922 of the family's 1478-position model. The record is from RNAcentral.